Molecule: non-coding RNA, 57 nt
Filed under: Symbiodinium sp. CCMP2430
Lineage: Eukaryota; Dinophyceae; Suessiales; Symbiodiniaceae
Source: RNAcentral
GCUUCCCCUGCCUCCUCUCGGCAAUCGGUCACCGGAUCAAAUCCGCAGCUGCAGAUC